Molecule: ribosomal RNA, 489 nt
Filed under: uncultured bacterium
Lineage: Bacteria
Description: partial 16S ribosomal RNA
Rfam family: Bacterial small subunit ribosomal RNA
Source: RNAcentral
GACGAACGCUGGCGGCGUGCUUAACACAUGCAAGUCGAACGAUGAACCGGGUGCUUGCACUUGGGGAUUAGUGGCGAACGGGUGAGUAACACGUGAGUAACCUGCCCUGGACUCUGGGAUAACCCCGAGAAAUCGGAGCUAAUACCGGAUAGGACCUUCCCCCGCAUGGGGGUUGGUGGAAAGUUUUUCGGGUUGGGAUGGACUCGCGGCCUAUCAGCUUGUUGGUGAGGUAAUGGCUCACCAAGGCGUCGACGGGUAGUCGGCCUGAGAGGGUGACCGGCCACACUGGGACUGAGACACGGCCCAGACUCCUACGGGAGGCAGCAGUGGGGAAUAUUGCACAAUGGGCGCAAGCCUGAUGCAGCAACGCCGCGUGCGGGAUGACGGCCUUCGGGUUGUAAACCGCUUUUAGUAAGGAAGAAGGGGCUUCGGCCUUGACGGUACUUGCAGAAAAAGGACCGGCUAACUACGUGCCAGCCGCCGCCGUAA